UUGCCAGUAGUCAUAUGCUUGUCUUAAAGAUUAAGCCAUGCAUGUCUAAGUAUAAGCAAUUAUACAGCGAAACUGCGAAUGGCUCAUUAAAUCAGUUAUCGUUUAUUUGAUAGUACCUUACUACAUGGAUAACCGUGGUAAUUCUAGAGCUAAUACAUGCUGAAAACCCCGACUUUGGAAGGGGUGUAUUUAUUAGAUUAAAAACCAAUGCCCUCCGGGGCUCACUGGUGAUUCAUGAUAACUUCUCGAAUCGCACGGCCUUGCGCCGGCGAUGGUUCAUUCAAAUUUCUGCCCUAUCAACUUUCGACGGCUGGGUCUUGGCCAGCCGUGGUGACAACGGGUAACGGAGGGUUAGGGCUCGACCCCGGAGAAAACGCCUGAGAAACGGCGUUUACAUCCAAGGAAGGCAGCAGGCGCGCAAAUUACCCAAUGCCGACACGGCGAGGUAGUGACGAGAAAUACUGAUACAGGGCUCUUUUGGGUCUUGUAAUUGGAAUGAGUACAAUUUAAAUCUCUUAACGAGGAACAAUUGGAGGGCAAGUCUGGUGCCAGCAGCCGCGGUAAUUCCAGCUCCAAUAGCGUAUA
RNAcentral lists this ribosomal RNA (585 nucleotides) under Magnaporthiopsis cynodontis. Its description in RNAcentral is "SSU rRNA". It matches the Rfam family "Eukaryotic small subunit ribosomal RNA", at positions 14 to 603 of the family's 1831-position model. The record is from RNAcentral. Lineage: Eukaryota; Fungi; Ascomycota; Sordariomycetes; Magnaporthales; Magnaporthaceae.